Molecule: long non-coding RNA, 950 nt
Organism: Sapajus apella (tufted capuchin)
Lineage: Eukaryota; Metazoa; Chordata; Mammalia; Primates; Cebidae
Exons: 2
Source: RefSeq, a predicted model, not a curated record
AUUACCUGAGUAGGCUGAACCAUCAGUGAAAAAGAGGCCAAACAUCUCAAAAAUAGGACACCUGAGAGUAUGGAGCCAACGUGACACUCAGAUCGGACACACACAGAAGCGUGAAAAGCUCCUGUGCAACUGGGAUUGCUCCUCUGCAGUAAGAACACACCUGGGAUAGUGUACUGAAAAGAUGUGAGAAAUGCGUGAAGCAGAGUCCAGUCAUCUUAGUCAAGAACCAGCUGCGAAUCUAACCACUAGACUUUGAGGCAAGUCCAGACCAAGGCCAAGGAACCACUGGCCUUAAAGACUGACCUGCAGGUUACUAAGCUAAAUAAAAGUUUAUUGUUGAAGGUCACUGAGUUGUUUUUGUGUCCUACAGAUAUUAAUGUGGCAACAGAUAACUAAUAUACCUGCCAAGGUUCUGAGCCUGAGACGUGUUUUUCUCUUUGCUAAAAAGAUAGAUUAGAACAAGGGUCUCCAACCCCCAGGCCACAGUCUGGUACAGGUCUGUGGCCUAUUAGGAACUGGGCAAGCUGGCAUUACCACCUGAGUUCUGCUUCCUGUCAGGUCAGCAGCGGCAUUAGAGUCUCAUAGGCACACAAACCCUGUUGUGAGCUGCAUAUGCAAAGAAUCUAGGUUGUGUGCUUUUUGUCAGAAUCUAAUUUUGAUGAUCCCCAGGCGGAACAGUUUCAUCUAGAAACCAUCCCCCUACUCAGCCUGGGAAAAAAUUGUCUUCCACGAAACUGGUCCCUGGUGCCAAAAAGGUUGGGGACUGCUGUCAUAGAGUUUACUUACACAAAUCUAGAUGGUAUAGCCUGUUACACACCUAGGCUACAUGGUAUAGCCUAUAGCUCCUAAGCUACAAUCCUGUACGGCUUGUUACUAUAUUGAAUGCUGUGGACAAUUGUAACACAAUGGUAUUUGUGUAUCUAAACAUACCUAAAAAUAGAAAAGAUACA